This 431-nucleotide ribosomal RNA is filed under the name uncultured Paraglomus. Its description in RNAcentral is "eukaryotic LSU rRNA". It matches the Rfam family "Eukaryotic large subunit ribosomal RNA", at positions 1 to 428 of the family's 3401-position model. The record is from RNAcentral. Lineage: Eukaryota; Fungi; Glomeromycota; Glomeromycetes; Paraglomerales; Paraglomeraceae.
GGCCUCAAAUCAGACAAGAGUACCCGCUGAACUUAAGCAUAUCAAUAAGCGGAGGAAAAGAAACUAACAAGGAUUCCCCUAGUAACGGCGAGUGAAGCGGGAACAGCUCAAAUUUUAAAUCUGGCUGCUUUGUAGUCCGAGUUGUAAUUUGAAGGAGUCUUGCCGCUGGCAAAACGAUGGCACAAGUCCUCUGGAACGGGGCAUCGUAGAGGGUGAGAAUCCCGUCUCUGGUCAUCACGCGCUGGCAUACGGCAGGCAUCCGAAGAGUCGAGUUGUUUGGGAAUGCAGCUCAAAAUGGGUGGUAAAUUCCAUCUAAAGCUAAAUAUUGGCGAGAGACCGAUAGCGAACAAGUACCGUGAGGGAAAGAUGAAAAGCACUUUGGAAAGAGAGUUAAACAGUACGUGAAAUUGUUGAAAGGGAAACGAUUGAAG